This 65-nucleotide transfer RNA is filed under the name Megalophasma granulatum. Its description in RNAcentral is "tRNA-Glu". Lineage: Eukaryota; Metazoa; Arthropoda; Insecta; Phasmatodea; Lonchodidae. The record is from RNAcentral.
AUUUAUAUAGUUUAAGUAAAACAUUACAUUUUCAUUGUAAAAUUAAAUAAACAAUUUUAUAAAUU